GGGGGUGACAAGGUUUCGACGGACAGGAUCGUGCGGCAGGUUGCGUGUCGAGCUGGCUUGACUCGGGCUCGUAAAUCCCGUCAGGAAAUUGUAAUUGCGAACGAUUACUCGUACGCGAUGGUGGCAUAGACCACCAUCUGUCUGCUUCGCAGGCCCGCUCAUCGGCGGCGCAGCAGGCAUCGACUUCAGGUGAGCACCCUGCGUUUGGAUUCCGGCUGGAUCUGACGCAGCGGCACCCAAUCAGCCUGUGCCGUACCCGGUGUUGGUCGUUGGCCUAAGGGUACCGGCAAGAACGAAGCAAUGACCUACACACGUAGAUGCCUCGACUGUGCGUCUGUUCGGACCCGGGUUCGAUUCCCGGCAUCUCCACAA
RNAcentral lists this transfer-messenger RNA (372 nucleotides) under Bacteroidota bacterium. It matches the Rfam family "transfer-messenger RNA". From Rfam's summary of the family: Bacterial tmRNA, also known as 10Sa RNA or SsrA, is named for its dual tRNA and mRNA-like properties. The record is from RNAcentral. Lineage: Bacteria; Pseudomonadati; Bacteroidota.